GAUUGUUAAAUGGUCAUACACUAAAGUUGGAAUGGUACACAGAAGAUUAUCAUGGGCACUGCACAAGGACCACAUGCACAUUCAAGAAGCGUUCCAUAUUUUU
This is a small nuclear RNA of Oryctolagus cuniculus (rabbit), 103 nucleotides long. Lineage: Eukaryota; Metazoa; Chordata; Mammalia; Lagomorpha; Leporidae. The record is from Ensembl.